CUAGGUUGUCCGGGCGACGGUCGUCCGGUUCAAGCAUGUAGGCAGAGUGAUUAGGCAAAUCCGGUCACUUAAUGCUGAGGUGUGAUGACGAACCACUAAAGGUGGUGAAGCAAUUGAUGCCCUGCUUCCAGGAAAAGCCUCUAAGCUUCAGGUUACCAACAAUCGUACCCCAAACCGACACAGGUGGUCAGGUAGAGAAUACUCAGGCGCUUGAGAGAACUCGGGUGAAGGAACUAGGCAAAAUGGUGCCGUAACUUCGGGAGAAGGCACGCUGGCGGUAAGUGAAGUCCCUUGCGGACGGAGCCGAAGCCAGUCGAAGAUACCAGCUGGCUGCAACUGUUUAUUAAAAACACAGCACUGUGCAAACACGAAAGUGGACGUAUACGGUGUGA
RNAcentral lists this ribosomal RNA (392 nucleotides) under Shigella sp. FC1967. Its description in RNAcentral is "bacterial LSU rRNA". It matches the Rfam family "Bacterial large subunit ribosomal RNA", at positions 1482 to 1855 of the family's 2925-position model. The record is from RNAcentral. Lineage: Bacteria; Pseudomonadati; Pseudomonadota; Gammaproteobacteria; Enterobacterales; Enterobacteriaceae.